UUCCCUACGGGAGGCAGCAGUGGGGAAUAUUGGGCAAUGGGCGCAAGCCUGACCCAGCAACGCCGCGUGAAGGAAGAAGGCUUUCGGGUUGUAAACUUCUUUUCUCAGGGACGAAGCAAGUGACGGUACCUGAGGAAUAAGCCACGGCUAACUACGUGCCAGCAGCCGCGGUAAUACGUAGGUGGCAAGCGUUAUCCGGAUUUACUGGGUGUAAAGGGCGUGUAGGCGGGGACGCAAGUCAGGUGUGAAAACCACGGGCUCAACCUGUGGCCUGCAUUUGAAACUGUGUUUCUU
This 294-nucleotide ribosomal RNA is filed under the name uncultured bacterium. Its description in RNAcentral is "partial 16S ribosomal RNA". It matches the Rfam family "Bacterial small subunit ribosomal RNA", at positions 335 to 643 of the family's 1533-position model. The record is from RNAcentral.